This is a long non-coding RNA of Coregonus clupeaformis (lake whitefish), 903 nucleotides long. RefSeq lists it as uncharacterized. Lineage: Eukaryota; Metazoa; Chordata; Actinopteri; Salmoniformes; Salmonidae. The transcript has 3 exons. The record is from RefSeq and is a predicted model, not a curated record.
UGGCAGUCUCAGAAUAGGGGGUGGAAAUGGGGGACUGGUAGAGUGAUCGCAUCCCUCCAGGAGGCAAGAAAGAUUAUGAUGCGAAAAAGUGGAAUAUAUUCAAAUGGAGUCGUUUAAUUUGAUUUCGGAGGAGGAAUGGAGGGAAAAAGAGUGGAUGAAGAGAAUGAGGGAGGCAGAGGUUGUCUGAAUCUGUUGAAGAUGGUGGAAAAGAGGGAGGAGGUAUCGAAGAAGAUUGGUGUCAAGUGCAAACAGUGAGCCGUACGCCAGACCGAGUUCUGGAGGUGAGGGUGGGAAGCCCACUGGAGUGCUGUGUGGAGAGCCCUCGGCCCCACUGAGGAGAUGUGCUGCCAAGUCCUCCUCCAACAACAUUGAAGACUCCAACGCCGGGAUAACGCUGUGGAGGCAGAGCCAUUCCCGCUCCAGAGCAGAGGGACAAGACGCACCAGCCGUCAGGAGGGGCCUCCCAGCUCGCCCACACGGAUGCCGUCUGGCCACAGGAACACCCCAGAGGGCAAGUCGGACCUCAUCCUGGGUUGAGGUCCCUCUCCUUCCUUCCCUAUCUCUCUUUUUCUCCAAACUCCACUAUUCCUAUUAUCAAAGAAAAAAGAAGGAUCCCCACCCGUUCAUCUGUGAGUCCAGGAAUUCUGUCCUCCUCUUCCUCCCUCCCUAAGUCUAUUGUUUUGAUAUCCCCUCUUUUUAAAUUUUUGUACGAGUUUUUUGACAGAAGCACUUUAUGUACCUGAUCCAAGCCCCUGGCAUCUGUAGUGCUGUAGUCACAGGCCUGCUGGUCAAAGGGCAUGAGGUUUAAAUUGUCUCUCACUCCAUCCCUGUGUCAAUGGCAAAAGCUCCGAUGCGAGAUCGAUAAGGUUUAGAAAAAUACAAAUAAAAAAUGGAUACAAUGAA